Molecule: non-coding RNA, 1188 nt
Organism: Drosophila melanogaster (fruit fly)
Lineage: Eukaryota; Metazoa; Arthropoda; Insecta; Diptera; Drosophilidae
Source: Ensembl
AGCGUUGUUGAUAUAAAACUGUAGAGCAGCAAGUGGGUUGAACACUGGCAGCAAAUCAUGAGUCAAAACAAACACCUUAUUUUGGAAUUCGAGAAAGCCAACAAAAAAUUAUCCGAAAAACAAAACUAUCCCAUUAUAUCCGGCUCGAAGGACCAAAUUCGUGUUUAACCAUACUUAACAGAUACUUGGCAUAAGUAAUACAUCCCAAUUUCCCGCAGUGUUGACCACAUGAUUGGCCGUUUGUCCGACUGCAACUGCACACAUCUGCAUUCCAGACGAGUCAACGGCAAACGGCAGACACCGCCGCAGACUCAGAUGCGGCCUGGAAACUAUAGAUGCAGAUACUACGGCUGGAUCCAAAGCCAGACCUAGACCCAGACCAUGUGGGAUUAUGACGCGCCAGCACUCAAGGAGGGGCGAUGGCGAUGGCAGUGCUCAAGUCAAUUGCAGUUUGUCUGCAGCCGAACGCAGCUGACGAAGAGUUCUUCAGUGCUAGCUUGUGGCCUCUCCACAUCUCCAUUUCCACAUCUCCGGCUCCGUUGUAUUCUUGAUUGGCUGCGAAGACGCCUCCGUUUGUCGUUCGCAGCAGUUCGCGACCCCGAACAUCGCGUGUGACAUUUGCUGCCCCUGCAAUUGCAACUGCAACUUGGCUGCUGCUGAUGCUGCACCACAUUCAUUAGCAGCCACUAAAUGUUCGCUUAAUCAUUUCCCCUGCAAGUCUGUCACAGCUGCUUUCCGGGUGCUGGCUUACACACAGAAAAACAAGGCAUGAGUAUAAAAACAGCACAUUGAUAAGUGCGUGUUAGUCCUAAUGCCUUGGAACUUUGUUAUUUUCGCUGAGUGUAGAACUCAAGUGUCCCCCACUUAGAGUUAAAUUCAAAGUUAGAGUCGAAGGCAGAGAGUCACAGUAGAUGGCACUGUCUACAAAUUGCCAGCGGCGGAGCUUGUUGCAAUCUUAAGUGAAUUUAUGUGGCAAUCUGGUGGCGUCUCCGGCCUCCAAUUUCUUGCUCACAGCCUGCCACAGUCCAUGAUGACUUCAAUUAAUCAGCUUAAUGCGCUGCAAAUGUUUAGGACCGAGAUUGCAGGAUGCGAGAUGUUGAGGAUGAGGAUGCCGUUCUGGGAUUAAUCACAGGCGAUAAACAGGAUUCUAAUUGGGGUUUCAAUUUCCACUAGCUUUAAGUCUAAUUG